CACGUAGGCGGAUUGGCAAGUCAGAUGUGAAAGCCCGGGGCUUAACCUCGGAACUGCAUUUGAUACUGUCUGUCUUGAGUAUGGUAGAGGGGGAUGGAAUUCCCGGUGUAGAGGUGAAAUUCGUAGAUAUCGGGAGGAACACCAGAGGCGAAGGCGAUCCCCUGGGCCAUUACUGACGCUGAGGUGCGAAAGCGUGGGGAGCGAACAGGAUUAGAUACCCUGGUAGUCC
This 229-nucleotide ribosomal RNA is filed under the name uncultured bacterium. RNAcentral's name for it is "partial 16S ribosomal RNA". It matches the Rfam family "Bacterial small subunit ribosomal RNA", at positions 568 to 796 of the family's 1533-position model. The record is from RNAcentral.